Molecule: non-coding RNA, 1674 nt
Organism: Xyrichtys novacula (pearly razorfish)
Lineage: Eukaryota; Metazoa; Chordata; Actinopteri; Labriformes; Labridae
Source: the annotation of a GenBank genome assembly
GUCAACAUCACAACCAGGAGGGAGAAAAAUGUUUAUUCUGUGUAUUAAAUUUCUAAAGUUUGUCCACAACUCCAUAGGGAUUGCUGGAGGAGGCGGGAUUUAUGACCUAUACUGCAGCCCGUCACCAGAGGGUGCUGUUCUUGUGGUGGCUUUACCUAGCAAGGAGGCAGACUGCGUCCAUUCUAUAUACAGUCUAUGGGCUCUAUUUUCGUGCGCGCCGGUGAGGCGGCGGAGGGCGGCGAGCCCCGCGCAGUUGUAUUUUCGUCUGGCGGAGCCCAGCGUAAGGCCAGUUUGGUAUUUUCGUGGCAUGAGCCGCACGGAGGCGAGCCGAGAUCCGCCAAGCUGGGCGUGGUGGCGUGGCAGGGGGAGGUGUCGACAGAAUCAGCUGGCGCAGUGACAUUUUCGUGCUCGCCAACGGCGUGUAAAGUGCGCUGAAAGCUCGCCGAUUCAAACCUGGUCAGCUUUCAGCGCAAGGCGGAACGCAGCUGGUCUUGUAGUAUUUUGGUAGACCGGCGGCGUAUCGACAUACGUCACUGAUGCCUCACCGGCAGGAUUCCACAGUGUCACGCACAUUUCAGUGCAAUAAAUAAUCAUCAUCAACUAUUAAUCUGAGUCAGCACAUACAUUUAGAUCUAUAUCGAUAUAUUCUGAUCUAUAUCUGAUCUGAUGAGCGCGUUUGGCACGCGUUUGGACACACAACCUGACCGAAUCAACACAGCUGAAACCACAUCAAAUUAAAUUAAAUAUCUAGUAAAUAUUCACACAUGAUGAAGUUAACAAGAUAUGUAAUUCGUCUCCCUCCUUUUCUUUCUUCCUCUUCCUCUUAUUUCUCGCACAGCUCGACCUGGACACGUCUCCGUGUCCUCUGUCCGUCUUGCUGCUGCUGCAGCUGAACAGAUGAUUUGUUUCAGUGCUCAGAUGCGUUAUCUACUUUAAGCCGACAUACGGAUAUUAUAAUAUUCAGUUUUGUGAGCCAAAUUUAUUUUAUAUGCCAACAUCUAUGAAAGAAAGAGCCAGGCCACGGAGCGCGAUGCGUCAUUUACGCACAGAUGGUUCCGAUUUUAAUGCCAUUUUUGGAGUUUAUGUUGUGAUCUGUGCGCUCAACCCACCUUUGUCAUGUGAGGUUUGAAUAUGAGCAACUUUAUGUGAGUGUCUUUAUUUGUGGAAACGGGUGUUUGUCUUACCAGUGGGUCCAACAUUACGCACACUAAAUCCAUCUGUGCUCAUAUGAGAGAGUGUGGAGGACACUUGUUGAGGAACUGCCCUCUGUCGCCAUCUUGUGGCAUUACUGUCUUAAGACAUCUCUUGAUCUCUUUGACUACUCCAUGAAAAUAGUAAUACGCCUCGCCUGUGGCGGAUUUAAAGGCAAGGAGAGGAGCCUAUGUGAUUGGUGAAAACAGGUCUCGGCUGUGUUAAACCAACUACACGCCCUUUCUCCUCCCCGUCUACGACUUAUGGUGCUGGGAGGAGCUGAGUUAGGGAGGGGGAAUACUUACGCCGGGCUGCGCGGCUCACCAAAAUACCAAAAUGUGCUUGGGAACGCCUUGUCAGCGCGGCGGAUCUGACUGACGCUGCGCUUGCGGCACGUCUCCGGCGAGGCACCAAAAUAGAGCCCUAGGUCUCCUACUGACCGACUGCAGUCCAAAAUGUUUGACAGGUAGUUACAUUUUUAAG